GAUGAACGCUGGCGGCGUGCCUAAUACAUGCAAGUCGAGCGAACAGACGAUGCUCUUGCUCCUCUGACGUUUGCGGCGGACGGGUGAGUAACACGUGGAUAACCUCCCUAUAAUACUGGGAUCACUUCGGGACACCGGCGCUAAUACCGGAUAAUAUAUUGAACCGCAUGGUUCAUUAGUGAAUGACGGUUUUUCUGUCACUUCUAGAUGGUUCCGCGCCGCAUUAGCUAGUUGGUAAGGUAACGGCUUACCAAGGCAACGAUGCGUAGCCGACCUGAGAGGGUGGUCGGCGACACUGGAGCGGGGACGCGGACAAGACGCCUAAGGGAGGCAGCAGAAGGGAAUCUGCCGCAAUGGGCGAAAGCAUGACGGAACAACGCCGAGUGAGUGAUGAAGGUCUUCGGAGCGUAAAAAUCUGUUAUUAGGGAAGAACAAAUGUGGAAGGAGCUAUGCACGUAGUGACGGUACCUAAUAAGAAAGCCACGGCUAACUACGUG
RNAcentral lists this ribosomal RNA (497 nucleotides) under uncultured bacterium. RNAcentral describes it as "partial 16S ribosomal RNA". It matches the Rfam family "Bacterial small subunit ribosomal RNA", at positions 28 to 507 of the family's 1533-position model. The record is from RNAcentral.